RNAcentral lists this ribosomal RNA (447 nucleotides) under Araneus cavaticus. RNAcentral describes it as "partial 16S large subunit ribosomal RNA". It matches the Rfam family "Bacterial large subunit ribosomal RNA", at positions 1832 to 2601 of the family's 2925-position model. Lineage: Eukaryota; Metazoa; Arthropoda; Arachnida; Araneae; Araneidae. The record is from RNAcentral.
UUCUUACUUUAUUACUGUAAGUAACACCUGCUCAAUGAACUAUUAAAUAGCCGCGGAAAUUUAACCGUGCUAAGGUAGCAUAAUCAUUAGCCUUUUAAUUAAAGGCUCGUAUGAAUGGUGAAACAUUUCAAUUACUUUAUUAAUUAAUAUUUUUAAAUUUAAAUUAAGAAUAAAAAUGUUCUUAUACAUAAAAUAGACAACAAGACCCUAUUGAACUUUACUUUAGUUUAGCUGGGGCAGCUAAAAAAGAAAUAUCUUUUAAUUAUCUAAAACAUAAAUGACCCAAUAUAAUUGAUUAUAUGAACAAGUUACCAUAGGGAUAACAGCGUAAUAUUUUUUCAAAGCUCUUAUUUAAAAAAUUGAUUACGACCUCGAUGUUGAAUUAGUGUAACUCUAUAAACGCAAUAGUUUUAGAAGUAGGUCUGUUCGACCUUCAAAACACUACAU